GUAAAACACAAUGUGAAGACAUGAUUACAAGAGACACAAAUUACUAACCUCACAGACACAAGAGCAUGCAAGCCAUUUUUAUCCCAGUCCUAUAGUUAUCAUUCUGGUCAGUAACUAUUAAUUAAAUAGAAGUAACAAUUCACUUGGUCAAACCACCUUACCCAACACUGCUCUGAGGUGAUAUAGUUUUCAGCACUUAAAAUACAAACAGGAAGUGGAGAGUGUAAAGACAGAGAAUCAAAUAAGCAGCUAAAUACCAAAUCUUUUGUUUACAGCACAUUCCUGACACAACCACAGAACUGCAACUUUUAAAUGACGCUGCCUUGAACCUCAUACAUCUUUCUUCCCAGUUCAGAAGCCUGAACAAGGAGCAAGUAACAUCUGCCUGCAACCAGAGUCCAUCCCCAAAAAGGUAACAGGGAAGGAGAGAGGUGACAAACCCAAACAGCAUGAAAACUUAUAAGAAAACAAAACUAGCACCCCAAAGAAAAUCAACCACAUACCUGACCAUCAGCAAAAAUUAAUACAUCUUCAGUUCCUCCACCUUUUUGAUACUUGUUUCACAUCUUUACUACAGAAACAUCAAAUUGUGAUUUUCAGGACCCUGUGACAAACAACAGGGUGGAUA
Molecule: long non-coding RNA, 628 nt
Filed under: Anas platyrhynchos platyrhynchos (common mallard)
Lineage: Eukaryota; Metazoa; Chordata; Aves; Anseriformes; Anatidae
Description: lncRNA (ENSAPLG00000028688.1)
Source: RNAcentral